RNAcentral lists this long non-coding RNA (659 nucleotides) under Equus caballus (horse). RNAcentral describes it as "lncRNA (ENSECAG00000029406.3)". Lineage: Eukaryota; Metazoa; Chordata; Mammalia; Perissodactyla; Equidae. The record is from RNAcentral.
GAGGGAACCAGUGUGAGAGCUCAGCAGCCAGCCAGCCUGAUGAAGGGAGGCCCGCGCCGAACAGAAACAGUACCUUUAUUCCUGCAAGCUAAGUCUUCUAUAGCCGCUUUAUAAAGAUGCAGUUUCUAAGCAAUGCCAGGCUCACACUGCGGCUAUGAUGGUUUGCCCGGAAUCGGUCAGUCCUCCAAGGAAGCUGGUUCCUUUUUGUGAAGAGUGGUGUUGAGAAAACCAGAUCGGAGGGCUAGGCGUGCUGCUCACUGUUUAUGGAUCGUCACUGUGCUCAGACCUCCUCACUGGACAGUCAGGCAAAAUAUAUAUGUCUAUGCUACAAAAGGCCUGUUAGAAAGUGGGGGAAAAUUGCUGGUCUCACAAAGAUCAUUUCAGCUCUAUCCGGGCCCACUGGACAGCUAACACCAGCAGAAUCAUUUUGGACCAAGAGGGUCAGCAAGAUGGCGCAAGGUACUGAUUCUCUUCUGGCUGAAUGCCACGGUUUGCCCCAUAGAGUAGCCAUGGGCAGCAAACAUGGAUUCAUACAGCUGUCAGAGAAGGUUCGCGAUGAAUAAGUGAACUUAUAUCCACCCUUGAAAAAGAGGCAGGCACAAGGAAGGAAAGGGCACUUACCAGAACUUAAGCUCACGAGCCGGUGAAGCAAGAUCCCC